GACGAACGCUGGCGGCGUGCCUAAUACAUGCAAGUCGAACGCAUUUUCUUUCACCGUAGCUUGCUACACCGAAAGAAAAUGAGUGGCGAACGGGUGAGUAACACGUUGGUAACCUGCCCAUCAGCGGGGGAUAACACUUGGAAACAGGUGCUAAUACCGCAUAAUUCCAUUUACCGCAUGGUAAAUGGAUGAAAGGCGCUUUUGCGUCACUGAUGGAUGGACCCGCGGUGCAUUAGCUAGUUGGUGGGGUAACGGCCUACCAAGUCUGCGAUGCAUAGCCGACCUGAGAGGGUGAUCGGCCACACUGGGACUGAGACACGGCCCAGACUCCUAAGGGAGGCAGCAGUAGGGAAUCUUCGGCAAUGGACGCAAGUCUGACCGAGCAACGCCGCGUGAGUGAAGAAGGUUUACGGAUCGUAAAACUCUGUUGUUAGAGAAGAACAAGGAUGAGAGUGGAAAGUUCAUCCCUUGACGGUAUCUAACCAGAAAGCCACGGCUAACUACGUG
Molecule: ribosomal RNA, 507 nt
Filed under: uncultured bacterium
Lineage: Bacteria
Description: partial 16S ribosomal RNA
Rfam family: Bacterial small subunit ribosomal RNA
Source: RNAcentral